Molecule: long non-coding RNA, 155 nt
Organism: Bufo bufo (common toad)
Lineage: Eukaryota; Metazoa; Chordata; Amphibia; Anura; Bufonidae
Exons: 3
Source: RefSeq, a predicted model, not a curated record
CAGGAAACCCCCACUCGUAUUUCCACACUAAGAAUCUAACACAAGUUGUCAGAAGCUUAUUUGCAGCAGGAAUGGAGACAACGUCCACCACACUGCGCUGGGGCAUUCUCCUGAUGAUGAAAUAUCCAAAAAUUCAAGAAAAAGUCCAGGCAGGA